UGAUGAUAGCAUGUGCGCGUGC
This 22-nucleotide unclassified non-coding RNA is filed under the name Chlamydomonas reinhardtii. Its description in RNAcentral is "small RNA Cre_2962". The record is from RNAcentral. Lineage: Eukaryota; Viridiplantae; Chlorophyta; Chlorophyceae; Chlamydomonadales; Chlamydomonadaceae.